GAGUUUGAUCAUGGCUCAGGAUGAACGCUAGCGACAGGCCUAACACAUGCAAGUCGAGGGGCAGCACAAGGUAGCAAUACUGAGGUGGCGACCGGCGCACGGGUGAGUAACGCGUAUGCAACCUGCCUGUAACAGGGGAAUAGCCUCUUGAAAGAGAGAUUAAUGCCGCAUAAUACGAGAUUCGGGCAUCCGGAUUUAGUUAAACAUUUAUGGGUUACAGAUGGGCAUGCGUUUCAUUAGGUAGUUGGUGAGGUAACGGCUCACCAAGCCGACGAUGAAUAGGGGUUCUGAGAGGAAGGUCCCCCACACUGGUACUGAGACACGGACCAGACUCCUACGGGAGGCAGCAGUGAGGAAUAUUGGUCAAUGGACGCAAGUCUGAACCAGCCAAGUCGCGUGAAGGAUGAAGGUAUUAUGUAUUGUAAACUUCUUUUGUCAGGGAAUAAUGGGUGUCACGUGUGACGCAGAGGAAUGUACCUGACGAAUAAGCAUCGGCUAACUCCGUGCCAGCAGCCGCGGUAAUACGGAGGAUGCGAGCGUUAUCCGGAUUUAUUGGGUUUAAAGGGUGCGUAGGCGGUUUGUUAAGUCAGUGGUGAAAGUUUGCGGCUCAACCGUAAAAUUGCCAUUGAAACUGGCGAACUUGAGUACAGUAGAGGUAGGCGGAAUUCGUGGUGUAGCGGUGAAAUGCUUAGAUAUCACGAAGAACUCCGAUUGCGAAGGCAGCUUGCUGGACUGUAACUGACGCUGAGGCACGAAAGCGUGGGGAUCAAACAGGAUUAGAUACCCUGGUAGUCCACGCCGUAAACGAUGAAUGCUAGCUGUUAGCGAUAUACUGUUAGCGGCACAGAGAAAUCGUUAAGCAUUCCACCUGGGGAGUACGCCGGCAACGGU
RNAcentral lists this ribosomal RNA (891 nucleotides) under uncultured bacterium. RNAcentral's name for it is "bacterial SSU rRNA". It matches the Rfam family "Bacterial small subunit ribosomal RNA", at positions 9 to 895 of the family's 1533-position model. The record is from RNAcentral.